GGUGAGGUGGGUGAAUGGCUGAAACCAUCCCGCUUUUCCAAAGCGGGACUAAACCGGCAUACUCUGAAAGGGGUAUCGCGGGUUCGAGCACGAAGUACACAGCCGAAGGGGAGUAAUCCCGCCGUCACCGCCA
Molecule: transfer RNA, 133 nt
Filed under: Phaeodactylibacter sp.
Lineage: Bacteria; Pseudomonadati; Bacteroidota; Saprospiria; Saprospirales; Haliscomenobacteraceae
Also listed under: 1 other name
Description: tRNA-Gly
Source: RNAcentral